Molecule: long non-coding RNA, 533 nt
Filed under: Zostera marina
Lineage: Eukaryota; Viridiplantae; Streptophyta; Magnoliopsida; Alismatales; Zosteraceae
Description: long non-coding RNA (ZMAR_LNC002274)
Source: RNAcentral
UCUCGGUAUCUGUCCGGGAAACUUUGGGGCGGUUCCGUUUAUUCCUCCCGGUCGAUCGAGAUGGCUAGACAUUAGAUUAACUCCAGGUAUGUCUAUCUUCGGAGCUGCCCAGAAUUUCCCGUGCCGAUCGGUGACGACGGGAAGUUCGGUAACGUAUUUCUCGAAAACCGUGCAGAUUCUUGUAAAGACGGUGAUCGCCGCAUGUGCCAUUAACUCCGACACCUUCUCCUUACUCUGAUUCCAGAGAGACUCGUCCUGCAGCUUCUUAACUAACUUCCUCUGCAUCCCAAGUUUUUUCAAGAAGGCGUCGGCGCCAGGAGGAUUAUUCGCGUGGGAAUCACCGCCAUUAGCGGGGACGAGACCGUUGUAAGCCUUCCAUUGUUCCAGCUUCUUUUCCGAAACUUCCAUCUCGGCUAACUUCUCCAUCUCUCCGUGUAGACUUGACGUGGCGAAGACCAACGCCUCCAUUUUCUUCACCUUCUUGUCAAGCAUGUGGGCCGGGAAGCAGAGGCGAAGGUGGAAGUCGGCGGAGC